RNAcentral lists this ribosomal RNA (254 nucleotides) under uncultured bacterium. RNAcentral's name for it is "partial 16S ribosomal RNA". It matches the Rfam family "Bacterial small subunit ribosomal RNA", at positions 524 to 776 of the family's 1533-position model. The record is from RNAcentral.
UACGUAGGGUGCAAGCGUUGUCCGGAAUUAUUGGGCGUAAAGAGCUCGAUGAGCGGUCUGUUGCGUCGGCUGUGAAAACCCGGGGCUCAACCCCGGGCCUGCAGCCGAUACGGGCAGACUAGAGUUCGGCAGGGGAGACUGGAAUUCCUGGUGUAGCGGUGAAAUGCGCAGAUAUCAGGAGGAACACCGGUGGCGAAGGCGGGUCUCUGGGCCGAUACUGACGCUGAGGAGCGAAAGCGUGGGGAGCGAACAGG